UACGUAGGGUGCGAGCGUUAAUCGGAAUUACUGGGCGUAAAGCGUGCGCAGGCGGUUUGUUAAGUCUGAUGUGAAAGCCCCGGGCUCAACCUGGGAAUGGCAUUGGAAACUGGCAAGCUCGAGUUUGGCAGAGGGGGGUGGAAUUCCGCGUGUAGCAGUGAAAUGCGUAGAGAUGCGGAGGAACACCGAUGGCGAAGGCAGCCCCCUGGGCUAAGACUGACGCUCAGGCACGAAAGCGUGGGGAGCAAACAGG
Molecule: ribosomal RNA, 253 nt
Filed under: uncultured bacterium
Lineage: Bacteria
Also listed under: 1 other name
Description: partial 16S ribosomal RNA
Rfam family: Bacterial small subunit ribosomal RNA
Source: RNAcentral